CCAGCCGCAUCAGUUUGGGCAGGUCUUGAAGCGUCGGUGUGUCUCCGUUCCUUCAUCUGUAAAACGGAGCACGUGGUAGAGGAUAACGGGACCCGUCUCGUGGGGCUUGGAACAGGAAACGAGUUAGUCCACCCGAAAGUGCUUGGAGUGGACCUGGCACAUACCAAGUCCACCUCCCUGCGACUCCCACUCACCGAUCCCAGCUCUGCCAGAAGGCAAAUGUCAAAAAAAUAUUCUUGAAAGAGAGGACAUAGAAGACCCAAGUAUGCUGUCAG
This is a long non-coding RNA of Mustela erminea (ermine), 275 nucleotides long. RefSeq lists it as uncharacterized. Lineage: Eukaryota; Metazoa; Chordata; Mammalia; Carnivora; Mustelidae. The transcript is spliced from 3 exons. The record is from RefSeq and is a predicted model, not a curated record.